AGAGUUUGAUCCUGGCUCAGAACGAACGCUGGCGGCGUGGAUAAGACAUGCAAGUCGAGCGCUGAUUGCGAGGUAGCAAUAUUUCGCAGUCGGAGCGGCGCAAGGGUGCGUAACACGUGGGUAAUCUGCCAUGAAGUUCGGGACAACUUGCUGAAAGGCAAGCUAAUACCGAAUGUGACAAUUGAGAGGCAUCUUCCGAUUGUCAAAGCUGGGGACCGUAAGGCCUGGCGCUUCUUGAUGAGCCCGCGGCCUAUCAGCUAGUUGGUGAGGUAACGGCUCACCAAGGCUAAGACGGGUAGCUGGUCUGAGAGGACGACCAGCCACACUGGAACUGAGACACGGUCCAGACACCUACGGGUGGCAGCAGUCGAGAAUUUUUCACAAUGGGCGCAAGCCUGAUGGAGCGACGCCGCGUGGGGGAUGAAUGGCUUCGGCCCGUAAACCCCUGUCAUUUGCGAUCAAACCUUAUUAUUUAAAAGAUGAUAAGCUGAUAGUAGCGAAAGAGGAAGGGACGGCUAACUCUGUGCCAGCAGCCGCGGUAAUACAGAGGUCCCAAGCGUUGUUCGGAUUCACUGGGCGUAAAGGGUGCGUAGGUGGUGAGGUAAGUCGGAUGUGAAAUCUCGGAGCUUAACUCCGAAACGGCAUUGGAAACUACCUUGCUCGAGGGUUGGAGGGGGGACUGGAAUUCUCGGUGUAGCAGUGAAAUGCGUAGAUAUCGAGAGGAACACCAGUGGCGAAGGCGAGUCCCUGGACAACUCCUGACACUGAGGCACGAAAGCUAGGGGAGCAAACAGGAUUAGAUACCCUAGUAGUCC
Molecule: ribosomal RNA, 815 nt
Filed under: uncultured bacterium
Lineage: Bacteria
Description: bacterial SSU rRNA
Rfam family: Bacterial small subunit ribosomal RNA
Source: RNAcentral